UGGGUUGACCAAAAAGUUCGUUUGGGUUUUUCUGUAACAUUUUAUGGAAAAACCCGAACGAACAUUUUGGCCAACCCA
Molecule: microRNA precursor, 78 nt
Organism: Tursiops truncatus (common bottlenose dolphin)
Lineage: Eukaryota; Metazoa; Chordata; Mammalia; Artiodactyla; Delphinidae
Source: Ensembl